AGAGUUUGAUCAUGGUCAGAUUGAACGCCUGGCGGUAGGCUUACACAUGCAAGUCGUGCGAGAAAGUAUCUUCGGAUAUGAGUAAAGCGGCGGACGGGUGAGUAACGCGUAGGAAUCUACCUAGUAGAAGGGGAUAGCCCGAGGAAACUCGGAUUAAUACCGUAUACCUCCUUCGGGAGAAAGAAGGCCUCUCAUUGAAGCUUUCGCUACUAGAUGAGCCUGCGUAAGAUUAGCUUGUUGGUGAGGUAAAGGCUCACCAAGGCAACGAUCUUUAGCGGGUCUGAGAGGACGAUCCGCCACAUUGGGACUGAGACACGGCCCAGACUCCUACGGGAGGCAGCAGUGGGGAAUAUUGGACAAUGGGCGCAAGCCUGAUCCAGCCAUACCGCGUGUGUGAAGAAGGCCCUAGGGUUGUAAAGCACUUUAAGUUGGGAAGAAAAGUUAUUGGCUAAUACCCAAUGACCGUGACAUUACCUUCAGAAUAAGGACCGGCUAAUUCCCGGGGUGCCCAAGCACGCCGCGGUAAUACGGAAGGUCCAAGCGUUAAUCGGAAUUACUGGGCGUAAAGCGCCGCGUAGGUGGUUUAUUAAGUUGGAUGUGAAAUCCCCGGGCUCAACCUGGGAACUGCAUCCAAAACUGAUUCACUAGAGUACGAUAGAGGGAGGUAGAAUUCACAGUGUAGCGGUGGAAUGCGUAGAUAUUGUGAAGAAUACCAAUGGCGAAGGCAGCCUCCUGGAUCUGUACUGACACUGAGGUGCGAAAGCGUGGGUAGCGAACAGGAUUAGGAUACCCUGGUAGUCCACGCCGUAAACGAUGUCAACUAGCUGUUGGGGAACUAUGUUCUUCAGUGGCGCAGCUAACGUAGAAAGUGACCGCCUGGGAGACG
This 886-nucleotide ribosomal RNA is filed under the name uncultured Pseudomonadota bacterium. RNAcentral's name for it is "bacterial SSU rRNA". It matches the Rfam family "Bacterial small subunit ribosomal RNA", at positions 9 to 873 of the family's 1533-position model. The record is from RNAcentral. Lineage: Bacteria; Pseudomonadati; Pseudomonadota.